Molecule: ribosomal RNA, 704 nt
Filed under: uncultured bacterium
Lineage: Bacteria
Description: bacterial SSU rRNA
Rfam family: Bacterial small subunit ribosomal RNA
Source: RNAcentral
CAUGCAGUCGUACGAGAGUUUUUAACUCAAGUGGCGGACGGGUGAGUAACACGUAAGAAUUUACCUUUAGGAGGGGGACAACAACGGGAAACUGUUGCUAAUACCCCAUAUGCUUUCGAGUGAAAUGGAUUUAUCCGCCUAGAGAGAGGCUUGCGGCUGAUUAGCUUGUUGGUGAGGUAAUGGCUCACCAAGGCGACGAUCAGUAUCUGGUUUGAGAGGACGAUCAGACACACUGGAACUGAGACACGGUCCAGACUCCUACGGGAGGCAGCAGUGGGGAAUUUUCCGCAAUGGGCGAAAGCCUGACGGAGCAAUACCGCGUGAGGGAUGACGGCCUAUGGGUUGUAAACCUCUUUUUUCAGGGAGGAAUCAAUGACGUGUACCUGAAGAAUAAGCAUCGGCUAACUCCGUGCCAGCAGCCGCGGUAAGACGGAGGAUGCAAGUGUUAUCCGGAAUCACUGGGCGUAAAGCGUCUGUAGGUGGUCAAAUAAGUCAACUGUUAAAUCUUGAGGCUCAACCUCAAAACCGCAGUCGAAACUAUUAGACUAGAGUAUAGUAGGGGUAAAGGGAAUUUCCAGUGGAGCGGUGAAAUGCGUAGAGAUUGGAAGGAACACCGAUGGCGAAGGCACUUUACUGGGCUAUUACUAACACUCAGAGACGAAAGCUAGGGUAGCAAAUGGGAUUAGAUACCCCAGUAGUCCUAG